UACAGAGGGGGCAAGCGUUGUUCGGAAUUACUGGGCGUAAAGGGCGCGUAGGCGGCCAUCUAAGUCAGACGUGAAAUCCCCCGGCUUAACCUGGGAACUGCGUCUGAUACUGGACGGCUCGAGUAUGGGAGAGGGAUGUAGAAUUCCAGGUGUAGCGGUGAAAUGCGUAGAUAUCUGGAGGAAUACCGGUGGCGAAGGCGGCAUCCUGGACCGGCAUUGACGCUGAGGAGCGAAAGCAUGGGGAGCGAACAGG
This 253-nucleotide ribosomal RNA is filed under the name uncultured bacterium. Its description in RNAcentral is "partial 16S ribosomal RNA". It matches the Rfam family "Bacterial small subunit ribosomal RNA", at positions 524 to 776 of the family's 1533-position model. The record is from RNAcentral.